RNAcentral lists this long non-coding RNA (287 nucleotides) under Nicotiana benthamiana. RNAcentral describes it as "long non-coding RNA (NBEN_LNC005267)". The record is from RNAcentral. Lineage: Eukaryota; Viridiplantae; Streptophyta; Magnoliopsida; Solanales; Solanaceae.
UCUCUCUCUCUAGAUGCUAUUAGACCUUCAAUGGCUUCUCCUCUCGGCCUUAUGAUGAUUCUACAAUCUGAAGGUUCAAAAAUUAAUUUUUAAUAUGUUUUGGCCGUUCCUAUUCAUUUAUUUGUUUUUUGUUCCGUUUUAAAUUUGUUUUUCAUUUUAUUGGGAUUCUUCACUAAAUCGGUUGUUCUUCCGUUUCUCUGACAUUUGGAAAUUUUUAUUUAUUUAUUUAGCUUCUGAAAUUUAUUUUGGAGAACAAGAGUAACAUCUGUUAAUCAAAUAGUAAUCUC